RNAcentral lists this ribosomal RNA (301 nucleotides) under uncultured bacterium. RNAcentral's name for it is "partial 16S ribosomal RNA". It matches the Rfam family "Bacterial small subunit ribosomal RNA", at positions 509 to 807 of the family's 1533-position model. The record is from RNAcentral.
CAGUAGCCGCGGGAAAACGAAGGGGGCUAGCGUUGUUCGGAUUUACUGGGCGUAAAGCGCACGUAGGCGGAUUCUUAAGUCAGAGGUGAAAUCCCAAGGCUCAACCUUGGAACUGCCUUUGAUACUGGGGAUCUUGAGUCCGGGAGAGGUGAGUGGAACUGCGAGUGUAGAGGUGAAAUUCGUAGAUAUUCGCAAGAACACCAGUGGCGAAGGCGGCUCACUGGCCCGGUACUGACGCUGAGGUGCGAAAGCGUGGGGAGCAAACAGGAUUAGAUACCCCCGUAGUCCCUGUCUCUUAUAC